UACGGGGGGAGCAAGCGUUGUUCGGAUUUACUGGGCGUAAAGGGCGCGUAGGCGGCCACCGCAAGUCGAUUGUGAAAUCUCCGGGCUUAACCCGGAAAGGUCAACCGAUACUGCGGGGCUAGAGUGCAGAAGGGGCAACUGGAAUUCUCGGUGUAGCGGUGAAAUGCGUAGAUAUCGGAAGGAACACCAGUGGCGAAAGCGGCUUCCUGGUCCAGCAUCGACGUUCAGGCACGAAAGCGUGGGGAGCAAACAGG
This 254-nucleotide ribosomal RNA is filed under the name uncultured bacterium. RNAcentral's name for it is "partial 16S ribosomal RNA". It matches the Rfam family "Bacterial small subunit ribosomal RNA", at positions 524 to 776 of the family's 1533-position model. The record is from RNAcentral.